UUAUUUUGCCAGCUACUACGUUGGUACCUACCACAAUGUGAACAUUGUGAAGUGCGAACUACAGUCAUUUUGUCGUAAAAAUAAUACAGUGCCGUACGUUCGUCAGUUUAGGUACAAAGCGUUUGAUUAUACCUUUUUACUUAUCACGUAGGUACCUAUCACAGAAGAAUAGUGUUCCUUUAUUAUUAUCGUGCGUUUAACAAUAACGGAGUAAACUAAAUUAAGCACCUCGAUACUAUGUUGUUAUAUGAAUAUGUCAUAAACUCAACAAUUAAAGGCAUAUCUCGUGAAAAUAGGUGUACGAGGGGCGACAACAACGACUAAAAAGCGGCCACAGAAAUACACUUUCACGGUUCAUGAGAUACAGCCUGGUGACAGACCGACGGACGGACGUGCCGACAGCGGAGCCUUAGGGUCUUGUUUCGUACGGAACCCUAAAAAGGUCAGGUUACAGGUAGCUAAAAAAAACACCGGCCACCAAGCCUUUUAGAUUUACGGUUUGAAUUGAUAUUGGACCUUUUGUAUAACCAGACCACACAAUAGGUUAUUAAUUAUUAUGUGAUCGCCUAUCAGACAUCGGCUUUGAUCACAAUCUACUUUGGGACGACUGUACCUGCACGAACACUCAAUACCAAAACGUCCUAACUUCGAUCCACUGUGUCAUAAUAAGUGGAGUUAGGUGGAAUUCUAAGAAAUAUCUUUUUUAAAUACGUUAUUCUUGUCGUAUGCGGUUUAUCACUUGUUUUCACUUGGCAUAAUAUAUGCUUUCUACCACAGUUUAACUAGAAUAUCAUACGUAUAUUAUUAUAAUUAUAUUGAUAUAUUUUAAUUCAUUUUGAUUUUAUACAUAAAUAUCUUAGUAAUAUUUUAUUAUUUUAUUCACUUGAAUAUAUCUUAAUAACCCGUGGUGUUAUGCGAUGAAUAUUUUGAUUGUACAAGUUCAAAACUUAUAAUAUUCAACCUAAAAACUUACUCACGAAGUACUAUUUUGCAAGGCUCUUACGAAAUACAUUUACUAAUUCCUAAAU
RNAcentral lists this long non-coding RNA (1028 nucleotides) under Acyrthosiphon pisum (pea aphid). Its description in RNAcentral is "uncharacterized LOC103309889, transcript variant X2". Lineage: Eukaryota; Metazoa; Arthropoda; Insecta; Hemiptera; Aphididae. The record is from RNAcentral.